Molecule: ribosomal RNA, 462 nt
Filed under: uncultured bacterium
Lineage: Bacteria
Description: bacterial SSU rRNA
Rfam family: Bacterial small subunit ribosomal RNA
Source: RNAcentral
GGGCCCGCACAAGCAGUGGAGUAUGUGGUUUAAUUCGAAGCAACGCGAAGAACCUUACCAGGUCUUGACAUCCUACUAACGAAGCAGAGAUGCAUUAGGUGCCCUUCGGGGAAAGUAGAGACAGGUGGUGCAUGGUUGUCGUCAGCUCGUGUCGUGAGAUGUUGGGUUAAGUCCCGCAACGAGCGCAACCCUUAUUGUUAGUUGCUACGCAAGAGCACUCUAGCAAGACUGCCGUUGACAAAACGGAGGAAGGUGGGGACGACGUCAAAUCAUCAUGCCCCUUAUGACCUGGGCUACACACGUACUACAAUGGCCGUUAACAAAGAGAAGCGAAACCGCGAGGUGGAGCAAACCUAUAAAAACGGUCUCAGUUCGGAUUGUAGGCUGAAACCCGCCUGCAUGAAGUUGGAAUUGCUAGUAAUCGCGGAUCAUAAUGCCGCGGUGAAUACGUUCCCGGGCCUU